This is a long non-coding RNA of Humulus lupulus (European hop), 2050 nucleotides long. RefSeq lists it as uncharacterized. NCBI's taxonomy places the organism in Eukaryota, Viridiplantae, Streptophyta, Magnoliopsida, Rosales, Cannabaceae. The transcript has 5 exons. The record is from RefSeq and is a predicted model, not a curated record.
AUUUGAUCCUCGCCAAGUCGGGACUCUGGACCAUUCACGUUGGAUUCGAGCAGCGGAUGCUGAAUUCUUGGGAGGGUCGUCAUCGAUUGGAGGCUCGGAUGAGGCUUCGUGCAUUGAGGAAAAUGGGUAUUCUCGAGACAUUCUGACUACGGUGCACAGAAGUAGAGCUGACUGUCCACAGCCUGAGGUUUAAAGUUGUUGAACCCUUGUGCAAUCUUAUUUUCGCCACAUGUUGACUUUGGAAUAAAAGUACUUGGUGCAAAUGCUAUGUCCAUUCCUGGCCUAUAUGGGUUUGUCCAGAAAUAUCCGCUGCCUGAAGUGCAAAGCUGAGGGACCAAAGAAGUUAGGAUGAAGUGAUAUUGAAAUGAAGAAAGGUGAUUGGAAUUAUCCAAAGUGGGUCAAUUUUUCUCAAAAGUAAGCUGGGAUUGAUCUUUGUGAUUUUAUUUUCAAUUUCUAUUGAUUGGUCGAUGACAUAUACAUAAAGUAUUGCAUUUUUUGUUGAUUUUCUGAUGAUCUUUCGAAGUUCUUCUUUCAUGUUGUUUCUUCAAUUUCUUCUAUUACUGAUUCCACAGUAUACUCCAAUACUUUUUUUUUUCAAGUAUUGUUCCAAUAUAUGUAUAUAUGAGUUGGCAUGUUGUAUUGGCUUCUUUUAUUGUAUAUACUACUAGUAUGUGGCCAUCAUUAUUUUGUCUAUAAGUUUGAAUCACCAAAAUACAUGUUUCUCUCAGCAAGGGUGUAAAGCAUGGGUAUCUCUCUCUCUCUCUCUCUCUCUCUAUUUAUAUAUCUACUUUCACUACUCUCUUCCUCACCAAAGAAACGAAUUUGAUUUGUUGAUUUGUGUCUUUUAAUUUUAGUCUUUACUGGUCUAUUUGGCAUGAGACUGUCUAGAGACCAAAAAUCUCUUUUGGGAGUGCUUGGAUGAGAUUUUGAAAGUAUUUUAUUUGUUUGGAUGGUUUUUCUAAGUAAGCAGGUUCUGCUUGGAUGAGAUUUUGAAAGUAUAAUAUCUCUCAGGUGUCCUUUUUCAUUUCCCUUUAUACCAUAUUUUUGCUUUCUAUCUGUUUUCCAUUUUGGUGAUUUACCAUAAAAAAAAAAUUAGCUUGGUAGAUCUGUUCUCUUAUAUGAAACUGUAAGAUUAGCAAGAGAAUUUUAUCUAUUGGUAGAUCUGUUAGCAAAAAAAUUAGCUUGGUAGAUCUGUUCAUAUCUGUUCUCUUAUUGUGAUUACAUGGGUUUUUAGACCUGAAACAGUAGAGAACCUCUCUUUCUUGUUUUGUUGCAUACAUACACACCACUUCAAGAUCACACUUUCUGAUUAAGCACAAAACUCAUAACACAAUAAAUAUGGUUACUAAAAUAGAUAUGAAAAAUCAAACAUGUAGAUUUGUUUUACAUACUAAUUUCCUUCCUCUUCUUAACUAAAGAUUUGUGUUUGUCAAACGUUUUGAUAAGGCAUUUCAGAUUUUGUUUGGUUAUGAAUUCUCAUUUUAGCUCACAGAUUCAAGAAACACCACACAAGAGACAUUAUAAGUUCAUAGUUCAAAGCUUUAAGCAUUGAAGAAUAUAUUUUUCUUCUUAUUAUUCUCAGUUUUCAUAUCCACCACGACAUCAUUUUCUUUGCUCUUUUAACUGUUAACUGAAAUAUAUUCAAUAGGACCCUAUUAAUAAUCACUAUUCUCUGCCAUGUUUGUAGAGGUAAGUUAUGCCAAAUCAAAAGUUACGUUAGAGCAGAAAAGUUGUGAUGAUACAUUUCUUGUUACCUAAUUACAAAAUAACUUGGGGAUUGAUUGCAUAGUAAGUAAUUGUGAUAAAUUACCGGCGAUAAAUUUUAUCUGUAAAAGUAUUCUGUUUUAUCGGUGAUAGAUUUUGUGAAUAUAUUAACUGUUCUAUUAUCACAUUUUUCUAGUAUGCACUUUCUAGAUUAGUAACAGUUGAAUUUACUUUCAGGGUUAUGGUGUUGUUCUUGUUAACACUGAUGAGGCAGGGACACUGUUAGUAACCAAUUAUCGACUUAUUUUUCUGAGUGAAGGAACUAGGAAUAUCAUUUCUCUUGGUA